GACACAUUUUAGAGAUGAGUUCCGGUUCUCGCAGCAGCUGAGGGGGAUGCUGAUAAGGCAUCCGGAUAUGUUCUAUGUGUCGCUCAAGGGGGAUAGGGAUUCGGUGUUUUUGCGGGAGGCGUACCGUGAUUCUCAGCUGGUGGAGAAGGAUAAGAUGCUGCUGUUGAAGGAGAAGAUGCGGGCGCUGGUUGCGGUUCCACGAUUUAAGAAUCGAC
This 215-nucleotide unclassified non-coding RNA is filed under the name Hevea brasiliensis (rubber tree). Lineage: Eukaryota; Viridiplantae; Streptophyta; Magnoliopsida; Malpighiales; Euphorbiaceae. The record is from RNAcentral.